RNAcentral lists this ribosomal RNA (497 nucleotides) under uncultured bacterium. RNAcentral describes it as "partial 16S ribosomal RNA". It matches the Rfam family "Bacterial small subunit ribosomal RNA", at positions 28 to 507 of the family's 1533-position model. The record is from RNAcentral.
GAUGAACGCUGGCGGCGUGCCUAAUACAUGCAAGUCGAGCGAACAGACGAGGAGCUUGCUCCUCUGACGUUAGCGGCGGACGGGUGAGUAACACGUGGAUAACCUACCUAUAAGACUGGGAUAACUUCGGGAAACCGGAGCUAAUACCGGAUAAUAUAUUGAACCGCAUGGUUCAAUAGUGAAAGACGGUUUUGCUGUCACUUAUAGAUGGAUCCGCGCCGCAUUAGCUAGUUGGUAAGGUAACGGCUUACCAAGGCAACGAUGCGUAGCCGACCUGAGAGGGUGAUCGGCCACACCGGAACUGAGACACGGUCCAGACUCCUACGGGAGGCAGCAGUAGGGAAUCUUCCGCAAAGGGCGAAAGCCUGACGGGGCAACGCCGCGUGAGUGAUGAAGGUCUUCGGAUCGUAAAACUCUGUUAUUAGGGAAGAACAAAUGUGUAAGUAACUAUGCACGUCUUGAUGGUACCUAAUCAGAAAGCCACGGCUAACUACGUG